RNAcentral lists this ribosomal RNA (592 nucleotides) under Mitrocomella polydiademata. RNAcentral's name for it is "partial 16S ribosomal RNA". It matches the Rfam family "Bacterial large subunit ribosomal RNA", at positions 1833 to 2597 of the family's 2925-position model. The record is from RNAcentral. Lineage: Eukaryota; Metazoa; Cnidaria; Hydrozoa; Leptothecata; Mitrocomidae.
GCCCUAGAUAGUAUCUAAGGUGUAACCUGCCCAGUGGUUUCUAAUACAAGAAAUAAAAAUUCUAUAAAGAAACUAAAAGGACGCGGUAACCUUGACCGUGGUAAUGUAGCAUAAUCACUCGCCAUUUAAUUGGUGGAUAGUAUGAAUGGUUGAACGAAUAUUCCGCUGUCUUAGAAAGAAGCACAAGAAAUUGAAAUAAUAGUUAAGAUGCUAUUUUUAACUGUAAGACGAAAAGACCCUAUAGAGCUUAACUAUAAUCUUCUUAUUAUAAAAGAAAAUAAAUUCUAUAUUUAAGAAGAUUGGUAGUUUAGUUGGGGCGACUGUCUUUUAUAACAAACAAAGACAAGCAAUGUUAAUAAAAAACUUAUUGUAUAACUAAAAUGUUUAACAAUUAUAAAAAUAGGCUAUAAUGACCCGUUAUUACUCUAUAAAAAGAAUAACGAUCAAUUAAUAAAAGCUACCUUAGGGAUAACAGGAUAAUUUCAUUUUAGAGUUCCUAUCGAAAAUGAAGUUUGUCACCUCUAUGUUGAAUUAAGAUAUCCUGAUAAUGCAGCAGUUAUCAAAGGUAGGUCUGUUCGACCUUUAAAAUCUU